CCUCCUUCAAAGAGAUUAUAUCAACUCUCCCAAGAAGAAAAAGUUGGAAUGACUCAAAUAACGACUUUUUUUUGUAUCGAGGCUUCUGGUGUUACUCAUUUUUCAUUGAAGGAGUGAUGUCGGCUCAACAAAAUUUCCAAUCUCAACCUUCCGAUAUCGUCAUAUGCAGUGCACCGAAAACUGGAACAACAUGGUUAAAGUCCCUCACUUUUGCCAUUGUCACAAGAACCACCUUCGAUGAUUCCACUAACCCUUUACUUGCCAAUCUAUCACAUGAUUGUGUACCCUUUUUAGAGGUUGAUUUAGCCCAAUCUUCUACCAAUCGAGACCCUAAAAAUCCUUUGUUAGCCACACAUGUCCCUUACUCUUCUUUACCAAGAUCAAUAAUUGAUUCCAGUUGUAAAAUUGUUUACAUUUGUAGGGACCCUAAGGAUUCAUUCGUUUCGUUUUAUCACUUCAUUGCUAGGCGCUUGGCAUCCAAAGACAUAAAGCCCCUUGCUUUAGAAGAGGCCUUUGAGCUUUAUUGCCAAGGUGUAAGCAAUUAUGGACCUUAUUGGGACCAUGUUCUAGGGUUUUGGAAAGCAAGUUUGGACCGACCUGAUAAGAUUCUUUUCUUGAAAUACGAAGAAAUGAUAGAAGAUAUUGUUUUUUACGUUAAGAAAUUAGCUGAUUUCAUCAGUUAUCCUUUCUCUUCUGAAGAAAUCAAAAAAGGGUCAGUCGACAAGAUCAUAAGCAUGUGUAGUUUUGAGAACUUAAGCAAAUUGGAAGUGAAUAAAAGUGGCAAACACCGUGAAGGAACUCCAGGGGUGAUUGAAAACAAGAUCUAUUUCCGAAAAGGUAAGGUUGGGGAUUGGGAGAAUUAUUUGACACCUGAAAUGGCUUCUCGGUUGGACUCGAUAACGUUACAGAAGCUAAAUGGUUCAGGCUUAACUCUGUGAUUGAAUCAUAAAGCAGCCAUGGGGUACAUUGUCCCUUCUCUGCAAUUUCGACAUAUUAUGUUUCUAAAAUAAUUUGUGUAUGCUUUUUGCAAGUAGCAACACUUCUCGUGUUGUUCAUGUUAACAUCAAUAAAAAGCAUAGUUGAUUCAAUAUGUGAAAUGUGAUUAAAAACAACAUGUAAAACACAAUGCAAAUUGGUUUAUAUGAGUUCGGAGGACCAAUAUAAAAAUAAAAAAAAUUAAUAGAUUCGAUAUAUAAAUGAUAUGAUUAAAUUAUAUGAAUUGAAAUGAAAAUGAUUGUAUUUUUUUAUAGUGGAAAAAGUAGCAUGGCACGUCAUAAUGAUUUGCCGGUUUUCAUAAUGUAUGAAUCGAGAUAUAUGACAUGAAGAGAUGAAAUUCAAACGUUUGAAUCUUGAACAUGUUUUCAUUACAUUUUUGUCAAAUUAAUGUUUAUGUUGGUAUGACUUGAUCAUAAAGGUACUGAUGAUCUUUAUUGUUCAAUGUACACUUUGUUUAUUCCAUGUGAGGUAUUAGUUAAUUUCGAAGACUCGAGGAGUGAUCCAACAUCCGGUCUGCAACUCUCGACUCAACAAUGUUUGUAUAGUUCCUUUACGUUUUGAUAUAUGACAUGUACUUAAGUUUUGAGUUAGUUUUGUAUCUUGGAUGGUCAUUUGGAAAAUUGGAUUGUUGAUGUGAAUUUGAGUUUAUGAAUAUGAAAUGUUUAAGUUAUCAUGAACAUUAUAUGAUGUUUAAAUGGUUAAGUGGUGUAAAUGGUCAUAUGUAUUAAGUUAGGUUUGAGUUAUGAAUGGUUAAAUUGAUAAACAUGAAUGAUAAUGACAUAGCAAAGGUAGUAUAUGAAGUGUUUGAUGUAGGUAUUAUGCUUGAAUGGAUUGGUUUCGCAUUGGUUAUUUUGGUUAGGUUAGUAUGGAUUGGUACCAAAUAAGCAUUUCAAAACAGUAUGUCAUGUUGUAACAAGAAAUCGAUAGUGAAUGAUGUCGCGACUUGGAAUCUCCCAAGUCGUGACGUCAACUCGAUAGUUUUAACAUUUUAUAUUUUAGUCCUUAAACGACCUUAGGUUAUCGAAAGAGCUUUCGUAUGCUCGUAUAAACCUUGGAUAUGUUUGUAUAAUAUGAUAUAAUGAUGUAUUGAUCAUAAUUACAUGUAUAAACUGUUGAAUUGAUAAAAUUUAGAUCAUAGUUGUUCUAACAACGAAUGUGACAUCCCAUAGCUUUGACCUGUGAUCAAGUUGGGUAUGGGGUGUUACUAGAAAGGUGGGUUUGGAGAAGAAGAAUAGCAUUUGUAUUAUAAAUUUAAAAACAAAAACUCAAUCAGUAUAGUAAGUGGAGUUUGAGAAGAAAUAAUGGGUUUAGAAAAGAAGUAGAGUACUUUGUAUUAUAAAUUAGAAGAAAAAAAUCUAAAAUUUCAAAAAAUUGAAACUUACCAAAGAAUCCAAAUAAAUAUAAUAUAAUACAACAUUUUGCUCUUCUCUCUUGCUCGAUAGGCCGUUGAUGGUAGAAGUUUUUAUGAUUCUCAAGAAUGAAAGCACUGUUACCCAAGCCCUGAUUUUGUUUCCUGGAAAUUCGAGCAGCAACCAUCGGUUUAAUAAUUAUAAUUAGUUAGACUUUUCUAGAUAAUAAAAUACUAUUACGUACCAAUUUUAUAAACUACUAACAAUAUAUAUUUGACAGUUAAAAGUUUUUUUUUACAUAAAACGAAUAUUUAGAAAAUUUUAAUUUAUGUCAAUCUUGACAUACAUGAUCUAUAUGAAUGGAGUAUGAAAUAUGACGGUGGGAUUGUUAAAAUAAAAAUUGUAUAAAAAGUUACUAAAUUAUGCAAAACCACUUUAAUUUUACACCGUGUAAGUGAAUCUCCCCUCUUAUUUUAUUUUUUAAGUAUUAUAUUAAUAACUUUUAUCUUAAAUAUUUUAUUUAUGUUUUUUGGGUACAUCUUUUAUCUUAAGAUUUGUAUAAUUCUUUACACAAUAAUAAUUCAUUUUAUAUAGUUAUAAAAAAAUCAUUAAUUUUACAUAAAUUUUGAUAUAUUAUUAUAUUUUGAAUUUAUGUUUAUUUCUAUGUGACAUGAUAAUUUUAAUUAUUGAAAUUUUUUAUCUUCGAAUAAUUUUGUCAAAUAAUUUAAUAAUUAAAUCAUUAUAUAUAGUGUACAAAUCAUAUUAAAAAAUUAAUCUAACUUUACGAAGCAUAAUGAGCAGGUAUAUUCUAGUGAUAUAUUAAAUAUAUUAUAUAAUUUACAUAUUUUUUUUACCUUCAAAAAGUCAAAUUCUUGAUCAUUUUAGUCUUUUUUUUAUCAUUUUAGUUUUGAAUCAUCAAAUUUCAAUUAAAUUACCUUUUUUUUACGUAAAAAUUGACCUAACAAUUAAAAUUUUAACGUCAUUAAUGUGGUAGCCUGUAUAGUAGUGUAUGUAUACUUUAUUGUUAACAUGGAUGAAUAUUUUCAAAACUUUUAUGAACUUUUUGAAUUUUUAUUUUUAUUUAAUUUAUGAAGUAAACGUGAAUUUUCAUGUGUGUCACCACGUCACUCCCGUUAAAAUUUUAAUAGUCCAAUUAAUUUUUCAGUUCAAAGAAAAACAAUUUAACAAAAAUUUGAAAAUUUAAAACAAAUCGAUCCAAAAAAGUAUUAAGACAAAUGCAUUUAAGAGAAGGGAAAUUAUUUGGUACAUUGUCGGUAAAGCUUUUAUACUUCACAAGCAGGAUCGGGGGUUAAUAAGUAUCUUAUAGAGAUAUUAUAAAAUAUCAAUUUUUAAAAUUACUUAUGAAAUAAAAAAAUACACUUCACCCCAAUUAGUGUGAAAAAAAAAUACAAAACUUGAUUCCAAAUCUUUUAAAAUAAUACAAAAAAAUCUAUCAACUAGAUUGUUUAGCGACAAAAUCAUGCAUGGGACAGACCUUGACAAUGGCUAAAUAAGCACUAGCUACAUUAUUUAUUUAUUUAGUCCCUAUAAUUCUGUUCCAAUUCAAGAAAUUACGUGGUGGAUAUAAUAAAAAAUUGUUGUUAAAAGCAAAUAAUUUUCGUCACUAAGUUCACAUGGUUCAAUUACAAAAAAAUUAUUGUGCAAUUGUGAAAGAAAUUACCUUUUCUCUGAAGCUAUUUAUAGACCCAAUUUUUGUCAAAAUAUUUGCACUCAUUUCCCCUUUCUUUUUCCUUUAUGAAAAUGGCCUCCUUCAAAGAGAUUAUAUCAACACUCCCAAGAAGAAAAGGCUGGAAUGACUCAGAUAACGACCUUUUUUUGUAUCGAAGCUUCUAUUAUUACUCGUUUUUCAUUGAAGGAGCGAUGUCGGCUCAACAAAAUUUCCAAUCUCAACCUUCCGAUAUCAUCAUAUGCAGUGCAUCGAAAACUAGAACAACAUGGUUAAAGUCCCUCACUUUCGCCAUUGUCACAAGAACCAUCUUCGAUGAUUCCACUAACCCUUUACUUACCAAUCUUGAUCAUUUUAGUCUCUUUUUUUUUUUAUCAUUUUAGUUUUGAAUCAUCAAAUUUCAAUUAAAUUACCUUUUUUUUUGGACGUAAAAGGUUGACCUAACAAGUAAACUUUUAAACGUGAUAGCCUGUAUAGUAGUGCAUGUGUAUUUUAUUGUUCACGUGGAUGAUUAUUUUCAAAAUUUUUAUGAACUUUUUAAAUUUUUAUUUUUAUUUAAUUUAUGAAGUAAGCGCGGACUUUCAUGUGUGUCACCAUGUCACUUCCGUUAAAAUUUUAAUAGUCCAAUUAAUUUUUCCGUUAAAAGAAAAACAAUUUAACAAAAAUUUGAAAAUUUAAAAUAAACCGAUCCAAAAAAGUAUUAAGACAAAUGCAUUUAAGAAAAGGGAAAUUAUUUGGUGCAUUGCCGGUAGAGCUUUUAUACUCCACAAGUAGAAUUAGGGGUUAAUAAGUAUCCUAUAGAGAAAUAGUAAAAUAUUAAUUUUUUAAGAUUACUUAUAAAAUAAAAAAAUACACUUCACCCCAAUUACUGUAAAAAAAAAUACAAAACUUGAUUCCAAAUCUUGCUCUUUAAAAAAAUUUUUGACUUCACCCCGAUGUGCUAAAAGUGUUUUAAUUAGAUCCUAGACUCAAUAGAUUACACUCGUUUAGUGGAGUUUUAUCGUUCAUGUUAUAUAAGUCAUUCUAAAAAAAAAAAAAAAACCCUAUAAAAAGGAUCAUCUUUAAGUCAUUCAAUACAACUUCAAAAGUGCAAAAAAUAUCAAAGUCUGAACAGAAGAUUUUGAUGACUAGAAGUUGUUUCUUAAAAUCCUAAAAAAUUGAAAAACUUAAAUAAAUUCCAAAGAAUGUCACAUCUUUUUGAUACAAUGGCUAAGACUACCCAUAGCCCCCCUCAACACUUAAACAGAGGGAUAAUAAGCUUUAGUACACUUGAAUUCAAGUUCUCCCAACCCAAAUAUAAAAAAUAAAACCCAAACCCAAAUUAAUAUUCUAUAAAUUUAUAGUCACAACUUUAUAUAAUUUAGUUAUAAUUUUAAUGUAUAUUAUAUACAUUAAAAACCUAAAUCCUGCCUCAUUUACCAAUUCCCAAAUCUGAAAUUCCUAUCCCAAAACCUAGCACCAUUUACACCGCCAUCAGCCCCUCCUCGACUGUCACCUACUACUGCAGGCCACACGACCACACCCGUCCAGCGUCCACCACCAGCAAGCAAUUGAAAGCAAAGUAGCAAGGAUAAUGCGGCCAUGGAAGGCAAGAAUUGAAGACAAAGAAGAGAAGGAAAGGAAAGCAAGCUUUAUCACGUAAUAGAAGGUUUGAAUGUUUAAAAGAGAUUUCUCAUGCAAGCUGGUUGGAUGAAUUAGGUUAAUCUCUAAUUUUUGGUUUAUUUGAAUCGAUUUAGUGCACACCUUAUUUUUUUUUUCACCUUAUUUUUUCUUUCAUGAUCUUAUUGAUUCGACCAUAAAUUUUGUUUAUGAUAUGUUUUUAAUGGAAUAAAAUUCUAAUCUAUUAGAUGUGAAUUGCUCUAAUCUAAGCACAAUUAUUGUACAAUUUUGUUAAAAAAAUGAAACUAUAAAUUUUGAAAUAAUUAUGAAUAAAUUAAUAUUAGUCUGUUGAUGUGAACAAUUAUUUUUAAAACUUUUUUAUUUUUUAAUUUUAAAAAGUACACACGUUCUUUUAUUUGAGUUAUCAUGUUACUUUCAUUAAAAUAGUACAAUUAAUUUUUGUGUAAAAUUUAAAAUACACUUCACCUUUAAAAAAUAAAAAAAUGCAUUGGACAGCACUAACUACAUUCAUUUAUUAAUUUAGUUCCUAUAACUCUACUCCAAUUCAAGAAAUCACGUGGUGGACAUAAUAAAAAACUGAUAUUAAAAGCAAAUAAUUCUCCACACUAAGAUCACAUGGUUGAAUUAAAAAAAGUUGAUUGCGUAAUUGUGAAAGAACUUACCUUUUCUCUCAAGCUAUUUAUAGAUCCAAUUUUUGUCAAAAUACUUGCACUCAUUUCUCCUUUCGUUUUUCCUUUAUCAAAAUGGCCUCCUUCAAAGAGAUCAUCUCAACACUCCCAAGAAGAAAAGGCUGGACUGACUCAAAUAACGACCUUUUUUUGUAUCGAGGCUUCUGGUGUUACUCGUUUUUCAUUGAAGGAGUGAUGUCGGCUCAACAAAAUUUUCAAUCUCAACCUUCCGAUAUCGUCAUAUGCAGUGCACCGAAAACUGGAACAACAUGGUUAAAGUCCCUCACUUUCGCCAUUGUCACAAGAACCACCUUCGAUGAUUCCACUAGCCCUUUACUUGCCAAUCUAUCACAUGAUUGUGUACCCUUUUUAGAGGUUGAUUUAGCCCAUUCUUCUACCAAUCGAGACCCUAAAAAUCCUUUGUUAGCCACACAUGUCCCUUACUCUUCUUUACCAA
This 6777-nucleotide long non-coding RNA is filed under the name Gossypium raimondii (Peruvian cotton). Its description in RNAcentral is "long non-coding RNA (GRAI_LNC001711)". Lineage: Eukaryota; Viridiplantae; Streptophyta; Magnoliopsida; Malvales; Malvaceae. The record is from RNAcentral.